This 440-nucleotide ribosomal RNA is filed under the name uncultured bacterium. Its description in RNAcentral is "partial 16S ribosomal RNA". It matches the Rfam family "Bacterial small subunit ribosomal RNA", at positions 338 to 795 of the family's 1533-position model. The record is from RNAcentral.
CCUACGGGUGGCAGCAGUGGGGGAUAUUGCACAAUGGGGGAAACCCUGAUGCAGCGACGCCGCGUGGGCGAAGAAGUAUUUCGGUAUGUAAAGCCCUAUCAGCAGGGAAGAAAAUGACGGUACCUGAGUAAGAAGCCCCGGCUAACUACGUGCCAGCAGCCGCGGUAAUACGUAGGGGGCAAGCGUUAUCCGGAUUUACUGGGUGUAACGGGAGCGUAGACGGCAGUGCAAGUCUGGAGUGAAAGGCGGGGGCUCAACCCCCGGACUGCUCUGGAAACUGUACGGCUGGAGUGCAGGAGAGGUAAGUGGAAUUCCUAGUGUAGCGGUGAAAUGCGUAGAUAUUAGGAGGAACACCAGUGGCGAAGGCGGCUUACUGGACUGUAACUGACGUUGAGGCUCGAAAGCGUGGGGAGCAAACAGGAUUAGAUACCCUAGUAGUC